UGCCUAUAGGGAGGCUAAUAUUUGACUGUUUGUUUGUUUACCUGUAAAAUUCUUCACAUGGCAAAGUCACUAUACAGGCCAUAUCACUGCGAAGAGUUUCUUACUUCCGUUGAGGACAUGCUGGACAAUCACUCCUACAUCCUAAUCAGCAGGAACGAAGACAAAUGACAUUCCGAUCUCUCAGCUGUAUGUCACUAAUUCAUGUACCCAUUCAAAAUGCUCAAGUUCUGUUCCAACUAUUUCAGUGGCUGUGACUGAAUAAUAUGCAGCUCAAGCUUUCAAUAAACAGGCAAUGACAGCCA
Oncorhynchus tshawytscha (Chinook salmon) is the source of this 302-nucleotide long non-coding RNA. RefSeq lists it as uncharacterized. Lineage: Eukaryota; Metazoa; Chordata; Actinopteri; Salmoniformes; Salmonidae. The record is from RefSeq and is a predicted model, not a curated record. The transcript has 2 exons.